UGGGAGUAGUGGUGUGUGGGUUCACACAGUAAUGACGGCCUCAGGUGAUCAGGAGAAACUCACCUGGAUUUCCUUUUUCCACAGCAGACUGAGAGCUUCAGGUGGACCCUGAAGGAGGUCUCAGACACAGGCAGAGAGAGGUCGUGGAGCGUCAAUCCUAUGGUAUCUGAGGUCCAGUAGAGAUGGCCUGCGCUGUUUUCCUCUGAGGAGAAUUUCAUCGGAUCACAAGCAAAGACGAUGCGUGGACCUUCAGUGUAUCCCUUGACAAAUUUGUGCCUGGCCUGCUGAAACUGUACUGGUCUAAGAAGGGAGCUCGUGGUGAAGAAAUGGAAGACCUCCUGGAUACACUUGAUGAACAGGACUCUGACAUUUUGGAACCAGUGUUGAACAGUUGUCAUCCUCACCAUCCUACAAGAUGACGAGGAUGAUACGUCUGUGCGGGAACAUGCAGUUGUGUUGGAGGGGGACAUCUUCCUACAUAACAUUCCAGACCUCUCUACUGCCCCGGCAUACCUCUUUGGCCUUCUGUAUGCCCUCAACAUUGAUUAUCCAAAGCAGAGGAGUUAUACAUUUGAAGCAAUUCAGGCCAUCUUUCUUUUUAGUUCAAUGGCUCUCGAUGCUCACAGCGCACAAGGUCUCUGAAAACAAAGCCUUUGCUGUGACUGUUAAUAGGGAAGCCUUGUGUUUUUUAGGCUGUUCCUGUGCAUUGUAGUUGAGUCAUGUAAAAAACAGUAGUUAAAACCCUUUCCCUCUAUAUAAUCAUUCACCUGUUACAAAGAGUUGCUUAUUUAGUCUUUGAACUGUUAAAAUUAAUUAGGAAUAAAUGAAGGAAAGAGGGAGGAAAGGAAGAAGGGAAAAAGGAAUGAACAGUCAAAACAGAGUGGGUCAUUUUGACCUGGUCUGACAAUACGAAGGUGAAGUGGAUAAAAGAUUAUUCGAAAUGUAAAUUUUAGUCAGAUGAAUCUGUAUUGUUGAGAAUAUAUGGUGAAAUUUUGUCUUGUGGUAUUUUAAAAGGUUUAUUUUGGUGCUGCCCAAUUCACAUGAAGCCCAGAACUGGUAUUUUACCUGUUAGUUUCCUGGUCAUUGAUGGUAACA
Molecule: long non-coding RNA, 1095 nt
Organism: Oreochromis niloticus (Nile tilapia)
Lineage: Eukaryota; Metazoa; Chordata; Actinopteri; Cichliformes; Cichlidae
Exons: 4
Source: RefSeq, a predicted model, not a curated record